RNAcentral lists this ribosomal RNA (1982 nucleotides) under human gut metagenome. RNAcentral describes it as "bacterial LSU rRNA". The stretch from base 1100 to 1971 matches the Rfam family "Bacterial large subunit ribosomal RNA", at positions 2045 to 2912 of the family's 2925-position model. The record is from RNAcentral.
AAAGCGUUUUCUGGAUGAUUGUCUUUCUUCAUUGGAACGUCAGACAAGCAAGGAUUUUGAGACACUUGUGAUUGACAAUGCAUCGCAGGAUGACAGUGUUUCUUAUAUAAGAGAACAUUAUCCGUGGGUAAAGAUUGCAGUAAUGAGACACAAUCUUGGCUUUUCCGGAGGUGUUAAUGUCGGAAUUGGCAUGUGCACGACACCAUAUGUACUGUUGUUAAACAAUGACACACGUUCCUUCCCGAAGAUGGUAGAGGAACUGAUAAAGACAAUGGAAUCAGCUGAUGACAUUUUCUCUGUCAGCUGUAAGAUGAUACAGUUUCAUGAUCAUGAAAAGAUGGAUGAUGCUGGUGAUCUAUAUACUUGUCUUGGCUGGGCAUUUCAGCGAGGUGUGGGUCAGCCAGUUGGUGACUAUCGCGAGCCGGCUGAAGUUUUUUCAGCCUGUGCAGGUGCUGCUAUGUACCGAAGGGAACUGUUUGCAAAGGUAGGAUUAUUUGAUGAACUGCAUUUUGCGUAUUUAGAGGAUCUGGAUCUUGGCUAUAGAGCGAAGAUUCAGGGAUAUCGGAAUGUAUAUUGUCCGACAGCAAAGGUAUAUCAUGUGGGCAGUGGAACAAGCGGUUCUAAAUAUAAUAGUUUCAAGGUAAAGCUUUCUGCACGAAAUUCAGUGUAUGUCAACUAUAAGAAUAUGCCGCUGCCACAGCUUAUUUUAAAUGCACCGGCAUUGGCAGCAGGAUAUUUUGUAAAAUGGUGUUUCUUUAUGAAGAUCGGCUUUGGAAAGGAUUAUGUCGAUGGAUUAAAGGAAGGAAUCUCAACUAGAAAAAAAUGUAAAAAGGUAUUUUUUAGAGGAAGAGAUAUACGAAACUAUUGGCAGAUACAAAAGGAACUUUGGGAAAAUACAAUUACGUAUAUUAUAGAGCUGGCAAAGAGAAAGCUAUAAGCAGAAUAGUUACGUUUUUCUUACAAUUUCAAAAUACAGGAAAUUUGGGGUUGUACUUUUGGCAAUUUUCAAGUAUGAUAGGUACGGCUUUUGGCAGUUUCCGACCUGCACGAAUGGCAUAAUGAUGGCCACACUGUCUCCUCCCGAGACUCAGUGAAGUUGAAAUGUUUGUGAUGAUGCAAUCUCCCCGCGGCUAGACGGAAAGACCCCAUGAACCUUUACUGUAGCUUUGCAUUGGACUUUGAACCGAUUUGUGUAGGAUAGGCGGGAGGCAGAGAAAGCGCAACGCCAGUUGUGCCGGAGCCGACGUUGAAAUACCGCCCUGAUUUGUUUGAGGUUCUAACCGCGACCCGUAAGCCGGGUCCGGGACCGUGCAUGGCAGGCAGUUUGACUGGGGCGGUCUCCUCCUAAAGGGUAACGGAGGAGUACAAAGGUACGCUAGGUACGGUCGGAAAUCGUGCUGAUAGUGCAAAGGCAAAAGCGUGCUUGACUGCGAGACCGACAAGUCGAGCAGAUGCGAAAGCAGGUCUUAGUGAUCCGGUGGCUCUGUAUGGAAGGGCCAUCGCUCAACGGAUAAAAGGUACUCUGGGGAUAACAGGCUGAUACCGCCCAAGAGUUCAUAUCGACGGCGGUGUUUGGCACCUCGAUGUCGGCUCAUCUCAUCCUGGGGCUGUAGCCGGUCCCAAGGGUAUGGCUGUUCGCCAUUUAAAGAGGUACGUGAGCUGGGUUUAAAACGUCGUGAGACAGUUUGGUCCCUAUCUGCCGUGGGCGCUGGAAGAUUGACGGGGGCUGCUCCUAGUACGAGAGGACCGGAGUGGACGCACCUCUGGUGUACCGGUUGUCACGCCAGUGGCAUCGCCGGGUAGCUAUGUGCGGAAGAGAUAACCGCUGAAAGCAUCUAAGCGGGAAACUUGCCUGAAGAUAAGUCUUCCCGGAGGCUAGACCUCCCUGAAGAGUCGUUCGAGACCAGGACGUUGAUAGGUCGGGUGUGUAAGCGUUGUGAGACGUUUAGCUAACCGAUACUAAUUGCUCGUGAGGCUUGAUC